CUUUUACCACAAAAAAAAAAACAUUCAUUUUCGUAAGGGGAAUAUGAGUGUUUGUUUUUUUGUAGUUUUUCAGUCAAUUGCAUACCGCUUUUAGCUGUACAAAACUUAAACAGUUUUCGUAAAUGCAUUUCAGAGAAAAGUGAAUUCUGAGAUUUGAAUAAUGCAUCUGACGUGUGUGUGAUGACGUCACGACGCACGUAUUUUGAUUUUUACCAGUCGUUCAAGGCGGACGGAUUCAGUCCCAAGAAGCUAAAGUUUUUCAAAGACAUUUGUAGGGAGGACUUUGCAGCUAAUGGAGCUGAAGUAUUUUAUGUAAGGAGGAUUUUGCAGCCCAUAUAGAUUUCCUUAGGCUGAACCAAAACCUGCCAGACUAAAGUUGAUUUGGGAGAGAAAGACGUUGUAAACUCAAUCAUCUUGACAUUCUUCAAUGAGUAAUUGUUCAAUUUUUAGGCAAAUACUGUACACUUUGAAUGCUCUGAAUAAAACUAUAUUUUAAAUAUAUUUAAAAUGAAUUGUUUUUGACUGUUUUAAUCAGCUUUUAUUUAUUUGGAAAAAAUUAUUUUGGUUAUGUUACCAGCUAAAGUAAUCUAUUCCCAAAAUAGCACUCUUUAAGUUAACUAAUUAUUAACGCACUUGAAGUAUACUCAUUACUAAUCUAGCUGCAGGUAUGUAAAAGUAUACAAAAUGUAAUGUACUUGGCAUAUUCAUUUUUCACCAGGGCAGUUUUUAGAAUUUUGGAUUGGCCAAAAAUAUAUAGAAUGUACGCAAACAGUCUAUUUAAGAUAUACUGAUUGUAUGUUUGCAAGACACUCAUAAUACAUUUGUAAUGUACUCCUAACAUAAAUAAAACACACUCUAAAUCCACUUAUCAAGCAUGAAUUUAGCACAAAAACAGUCAUGUACUUAAAUUGUACUAAAUACACUUAAAGUUGUUCCACUUUAGCACACAAAAGUACACUAAAUACACUUAAAGUUGUACUUUGUUACAAUUAAUAUACAACUAAAAUAUAUUAAGUACAA
Paramisgurnus dabryanus is the source of this 1020-nucleotide non-coding RNA. The record is from RefSeq and is a predicted model, not a curated record. NCBI's taxonomy places the organism in Eukaryota, Metazoa, Chordata, Actinopteri, Cypriniformes, Cobitidae.